AUUCAAGUAGUUUAAGUAUAGAAUUUAAAUUUGUGGUGUUUAAGGUAAAAUUUUUCUUGAGUC
Molecule: transfer RNA, 63 nt
Filed under: Cysteochila lineata
Lineage: Eukaryota; Metazoa; Arthropoda; Insecta; Hemiptera; Tingidae
Description: tRNA-His
Source: RNAcentral